ACUCAUAGUUGCCAACGACGACAACUACGCUCUGGCCGCUUAAGGCCUAGCCCCGAACCCACUUGUGCCUGUGCUCGUGGAUGUAGGGUCAUCAUCACAGGAUAGGUUCCGGCGGCGACCCGCCAACCGGGGCUCAAACUUAGCGGGUGUGGGUGUCGGUGUGCUUCGCACGUUGUGUUGCCGCCAUCCGAGAUCAAACAACGGGCUAAGCAUGUAGUGCCGGGCAUGGAGUGCCUUCGGACGGCGGUUCGAUUCCGCCCAUCUCCACCA
RNAcentral lists this transfer-messenger RNA (270 nucleotides) under Lysobacteraceae bacterium. RNAcentral's name for it is "partial transfer-messenger RNA". It matches the Rfam family "transfer-messenger RNA", at positions 82 to 374 of the family's 374-position model. Rfam says of the family: Bacterial tmRNA, also known as 10Sa RNA or SsrA, is named for its dual tRNA and mRNA-like properties. The record is from RNAcentral. Lineage: Bacteria; Pseudomonadati; Pseudomonadota; Gammaproteobacteria; Lysobacterales; Lysobacteraceae.